RNAcentral lists this ribosomal RNA (460 nucleotides) under uncultured bacterium. RNAcentral's name for it is "partial 16S ribosomal RNA". It matches the Rfam family "Bacterial small subunit ribosomal RNA", at positions 338 to 795 of the family's 1533-position model. The record is from RNAcentral.
CCUACGGGAGGCUGCAGUGAGGAAUAUUGGUCAAUGGGCGCGAGUCUGAACCAGCCAAGUAGCGUGAAGGAUGACUGCCCUACGGGCUGUAAACUUCUUUUAUAAAGGAAUAAAGUGAGUCACGUGUGCCUUUUUGUAUGUACUUUAUGAAUAAGGAUCGGCUAACUCCGUGCCAGCAGCCGCGGCAAUAUGGUGGGUCCGAGCGUUAACCGGAUUUAUUGGGCUUAAAGGGAGCGUAGGUGGGUUGUUAAGUCAGUUGUGAAAGUUUGGGGCUCAACCGGAAAAUUGCAAUUGAUACUGGCAGACUUGAGUGCGGUAGAGGUAGGUGGAAUUCGUGGUGUAGCGGUGAAAUGCUUAGAUAUCACGAAGAACACCGAUUGCGAAGGCAGCUAACUGGACUGCAACUGACACUGAGGCUCGAAAGUGUGGGUAUCAAACAGGAUUAGAUACCCUAGUAGUC